ACGAACGCUGGCGGCGUGCCUAAUACAUGCAAGUCGAGCGGAGUUUGAAAGAAGCUUGCUUCUUUCAAACUCAGCGGCGGACGGGUGAGUAACACGUGGGUAACCUGCCUAUAAGUCUGGGAUAACAUUCGGAAACGGAUGCUAAUACCGGAUAUGCGCUUUGAUCGCAUGAUCAAAGCGGGAAAGACGGAGCAAUCUGUCACUUAUAGAUGGACCCGCGGCGCAUUAGCUAGUUGGUGAGGUAAUGGCUCACCAAGGCGACGAUGCGUAGCCG
Molecule: ribosomal RNA, 274 nt
Filed under: Paenibacillus sp. ISOM186_OTU31752
Lineage: Bacteria; Bacillati; Bacillota; Bacilli; Caryophanales; Paenibacillaceae
Description: partial 16S ribosomal RNA
Rfam family: Bacterial small subunit ribosomal RNA
Source: RNAcentral